UCUUUCUCUUCAUCUCACGUUUCUUCAUCCUCCAUGGGAGUUCUCUUCAAGCUUCCAUAACUCUCUCAAGUUAGUCUCAAAUUUCAUGCUUUUGUGUACCUUUUCACAAGCCAUUUGUGCUCUUUUACUCAUUCACCUUAAAAACCCUUCAAAGUCUUAAACUAAUACUUUCUCUCACUAACUAGGUGUUUUAGAGAGAAAAAGAAAGACUCUCUAUAAUAGUUUGGGAAUUCUUGAUGAGGAAUCCAAUUACAAAUCUAGCAAGGUGAGUAUUGAAAUUGAGUUGAUAUUUUUAGUUGUUGAGAAUGGCUGGUGGUUAGAUCUGUGAGUAUUUUGUAGUUACAGUGAUUUAUUCAUUUUAGUGUGAUUAGAAUAGUGAAAAUAGAUAGCUACUUAAUGAUAGUUGGAAACUAGCUAGCAGAACAUGAUUUAGGAGAUAGCUUCUAGAACUAUAUUUAUGUGAAUUGAGUUAAUUGUGAUGCUAUUAUGAUGAUAGGUUCCAACGAAGCUCCACCACCCUAUUUGGACCAUUAGAGGAAGUUGGAAUUGGGUAAAGAUGUAACAAACACUAGUGAGUGAACCUGCACUAAAAGGUUUUCGGUAGAUGUACAUACGUUUGAACGAAUCACUUGAAUUGUUUAAAUUGUCUUUUCUUCAAAUUGCAUAUGGGAACAAGCCUUUAACGAAAUUUUUUUCUUGCGUUGUGAAAUGUGAUUGUAAUGAAUUUGCGAAAUCCCUUUAUAUGUUGAUAUAUAUAUAUGUAUAAUACAUUGGUAGAUAAUAUUGUGUAAUGAAUAUAAUCGUGCGUGUGCGCGAUGUGGGGGAUGCACAUGCCGGUAAUGAUAGGGUGUGGGAGUGUGGAGGAUGACAUAGUUGUGCGUGAUGUGGGGGUGCACACGAUGACUCCAUCUAUGUGCGUGAUGUGGGGGUUGCACAUGAGCUGGGUGAGGCGGCGGUGAUAUGCAUGCUGAAGUAUGUAUAUGUAUAUAUGUAUGUUAUAGAAAGUUUAUUAAAAUAUUUGUGAUUGGGUUGUAUGUGGGCAUUGUUAAUUUUUGCCAUAUUUUCCACUUCUUUAACAUCAUGGUUGAUCAUGAAUUUCCAAUGUCAAAGGAUUAAUUUAUCUAGUUUGAACUGAGAGGUUUUAACGAGAAACCGUUGUGUAGUUGAGACAAACCCUUGUGCAGUUGAGAGGAACCCUCAUACAAAUGAUGAUAUGUACCUAAAAUACGCUGUAGUGAGAAUGCCUUUCCGUUGCGAGAAUCUGUCUAUUACGCUGCCUUGCUUGGAUAAUUGCCAAAAAUUUUCUCUUUUCGAUUUCAUGUUAAACAUGAUUCCUUCAUUAUUAAAUGAUUUAAUAACCAAAGGUUUAAUGGAGGGGUUUUAUUAAGAACUUGAACUAAAUUGCCUUUUGUUCAAAUAAGUGCAUCAUGAUUUUCAAACCUCCCUUAUCGUUGCUUGAUCCCUUCUUAUGUUCACUCACUGAGUUUGUACUUACUGUUUUUAACUUCAUGUUUUCAGAUUAGGAAGUAGUCGGAACCCAAGUCGAGGUGUUCACGUAGAUUCAUCUCCUAGGUAGGUAUCUCGACAUUCAAUAGCUGAACCUCCACCAAGGUCACUCUGUUGGAAGUCAAGAGUCAUUUUGUUUGUGAAUACGUUCAUGUGAUGUAAAGUAUUAAGCUAUGUGUCUUAGACAAUGUAUGUAUAUUGUGAUUGGUAAUGCCACCACGAGUUGGCAAUGGUUAACAUUAUUUUGGACUAAUGUGAAAUGCAGUUUUUGAUUGCUAUAGCACAUUAAUUAGGUACUUAUAGAUUGAAAGUAUGAAAGGUGACUUUAAGAAUAGUUGAUGGAAUGAUGAGCAGAAUUAUAUAAAUAGGCUUGCUUGGGCUUGGUGGGUUAUGCCCAUCGGGUCCAUGUGCUGGUCACGACUCAAAAAUUUGAUUGUGACAGACUUGGUAUUAGAGCCCUAGGUUGUCAGGUCCUAGGAUUCCUUUAUUUGGUCUAGUGGAGUGUCGGGUCUUUAUGUGGGAUUUUUGGUUAUGAACUGUGAACCAUAGCACACUUCAUAACAAAAAAACCGCAUAGAUUCCCUAUCUUAGAAACCAUAUUUUCCUUUAGAUAUGAUUGUAAAACUGUGUUAAUAAUAGGUGUUUGCUUUUGUCUAGGUAAGAAUGCUGCUUAAGACAUGAGCCGCCUCAAGAAGGAUAGGGGAGGAAGAUGCUCACAAUGAGAUGACAGAUAGGCCACAAGCACCCACCCCAAUGGGCGAGGCAGAUGUGGCAGGGCCACUAGGUCGGUAAGGGCGGAUACACCUGUGAGUAAACAAGUGAAAGAACAGUUUUUAGGUGAGGCAGAUAGACAACCAACUAGGGGCAUUACCAUUGAGGACUUGGCUGCAGGUCUAUAGGAAGUUAAUAGGGUUGUGGAGAUGAUGACAACCUGUGUGGAUGACAUACAGAGAAUGGUAGAGGGGAGACAUGCAGCAUAAGCUUCCCCUAGUUCACAGGGUCAAACUGAUUGCCAGCAUCUAGAGGUUCAGAGGGGUCAUGUAGAGGUUUCACUUCCUGACUUCCUGAAGCUUAAGCCUCCAUUGUUUACUAGGUCGAAUGCAUCGGAGAAACCCUAAGUCUUCUUCGACAGGAUGGAAAAGAUUUGUAAUGCCAUGGGAUGUUCUAGUGCUAGAUCAGUUGAGCUAGUAGCUUUUCGAUUAGAGGAUGUGGCACAAGAGUGGUAUGACUCCUUGCAUAGAGGCAGGCCGACAGAUGCAGCACCAUUGGCUUGGAAUGAGUUUAAUAUAGCUUUCUUGAAUCAAUUUUUAGCACUCAGUGUACGAAAUGCAAGAGCUAUGGAGUUUGAGGCAUUAGUACAGACCUCAACUAUGACGGUGUCAGAAUAAAACAUCAAAUUCACACAGUUGUCUCGGUAUGCACCUUAUCUAGUUUCUACUGAGGAGAUAAAGAUAUGAAGGUUUUUGGAUGGGCUAACGGAACCAUUGUUUGGGUUGUAGCAUCUCGAGAUUUUGAUACCUACUCCGUAGCCAUGGAUUGUGCUCAGCGGAUUGAGAUGAGGACCAGUGAGAGUAGGGCUGCGAAGGAUAGAGUCUAGAGGGCCAAGAUAGAGGGACAUCAAGGUCACAAAGACUUCCGUAGUGGUGUUUCAUCCUCUAGUAGUCAGGGCCCACAAAGGGACUCACGAUUACCUCAACAAGGGAGUGAUGCUACUAGUGUCAGCGUUGGAUCAAGGUAGAAAACUUUUAGUGGAGAAAGGCAGCAAGAUUCGAGGCAGGGUAGUCAAGCUAUUGAUCGUUGCAAUAAUUGUGGAGUACGGCAUAGUGGGCGAUGUUUUCGUACUCCGAGAGUUUGUUAUGGGUGUAGUCAACUUGGACAUCUACAGAGGAGUUGCUCGAUGGCUCAUCAAUCACAAGGUUUUGCUCCUAACUCUGCUCAGCCAGUUUCGUCUACUCCUUUAGUAGCUGCCUCAUCUGGUCGGGAGGCUAGCAGAUCGAGAGGUAGAGGUGCUGUUGCUUCCUCUCAAAGCAGGCCAUCUGGGUUUGGAUGUCAAAGCUCGGUAGGUAGAGGCCAAGCAAGGGUAUAUGCUUUAACACCCCAAGAGGCCCAAACAUCCAAUGCAGUGGUCUCAAGUGCUCUUUCUAUUUGUGAUAUGAUGCUCGGGUAUUGUUUGAUCCUAGUUCAACCCACUCUUUUGUUUCUCCAUGUUUUGCACCUCGGUUAGGUAAAGAUCGUGUUAGGAGAGAAGAAAAAUUAGUGGUGUCUACUUCUUUGAAGGAGGUAUUUGUGGCAGAAUGGGAAUAUAAGUCUUGUAUAGUUCGAGUCAAGGACAAUGACACUUUGGUGAACCUAGUGGUGUUAGAUACUUUAGAUUUUGAUGUGAUUUUAGGAAUGGAUUGGCUGUCGCCUUAUCAUGCUAGCGUGGACUGUUACCAUAAAUUGGUUAAAUUUGAUUUUCCAAGGGAGCCAUUAUUUAGUAUCCAAGGAGAUAGGAGCAAUGCUCCAACCAAUUUAAUAUUAAUAAUGUCUACUAGAGGGUUAUUAAGAUAGGGUUGUCAAGGUUAUUUGGCUGUUGUAAGGGAUACCUAAACGAAGGUCGGAGAUAUAAGCUAAGUGUCGGUAGUGAAUGAGUUUGUGGAUGUAUUUCCUGAAGAACUACUAGGUUUGCCUCCUGAGCGAGAGAUCAAAUUUUGCAUAGAUUUGAUUCCCGACACUAGGCCCAUAGCCAUACCCCUAUACCGAAUGGCACCAGCAGAGCUUAAAGAACUUUAGGAUCAGUUAGAAGAUUUGUUAAAUAAAGGCUUCAUCCGCCCUAACGUCUCACCAUGGGGAGCACCGGUGUUGUUUGUAAAGAAGAAAGAUGGGUCGCUUAGAUUGUGCAUUGACUACUAACAGCUUAAUAAAAUGACAGUGAAGAAUAAGUAUCCCCUUUUGAGGAUAGAUGAUUUAUUUGAUCAACUAUAAAGAGCACAAUGUUUUUCCAAGAUUGAUCUACGAUCUGGGUACCAUCAAUUAAGGAUCCGGAAUAAGGACGUACCCAAGACUGCAUUUCAAACAAAAUACGAGCACUAUGAGUUUUUGGUGAUGUCUUUUGGGAUUACGAAUGCCCCUGCAGCAUUUAUGGAUUUGAUGAAUCUAGUGUUCAAGCCUUAUUUGGACAAGUUUGUAGUGGUGUUUAUUGAUGACAUCUUUAUCUAUUCGAGGAGCGGAGGGGAGCACGAGCAGCAUCUUAAGAUAGUGCUCCAAACUUUGAGGGAACAUCAAUUGUAUUCUAAGUUCUCUAAGUGUGAAUUCUGGCUUGAAAGUGUUGGAUUCUUGGUUCAUGUGGUCUCUAAAGAUGGAGUGCAAGUUGACUCAAAGAAAGUAGAGGCAGUGGAAAAAUAGCUAAGGCCAACAUCAGUUAUAGAGGUUAGAAGCUUUUUGGGUUUUGUCGGCUAUUAUCGUCAUUUUGUGAAAGAUUUCUCCAAAAUAGCUGCCUCUCUGACUAGGUUGACACACAAAGAUACGAAAUUUGAGUGGUCAGAUGCUUGUGAGGAUAGCUUUGAAAAGCUUAAGUCUUGUCUCACCACAACUCCAAUAUUAAGCCUACCAUAAGGCACCAGGGGUUAUACGGUAUUUUACGAUGCAUCACGGGUUAGUUUAGGGUGUGUAUUGAUGCAGCAUGGGAAGGUGAUUGCAUAUGCAUCAAGACAACUUAAAAGGUAUGAGCAGAAUUAACCCGCACAUGAUUUGAAGAUGGCAGCAAUCGUGUUUGCCUUGAAGAUUUGGAGACAUUACUUGUGUGGUGAGACUUGCGAGAUAUAUGCUGACCACAAAAGCUUAAAGUAUAUAUUUUAGCAGAAGGAUCUUAACUUGGGGCAACGUAGGUGGAUGGAGUUGCUUAAGGAUUAUGACUGCACUAUUUUCUACAAUCCCGGUAAGGAAAAUAUGAUGGCGGAUGCCUUAAGUCGAAAGUCGAUGGGGAGUUUGGCAUGCAUAAUAGUAGAUAGAAGAUCCUUAAUUUGGGAGAUGCAUAGCUUGGGAGACAUGGGUGUGCAUUUGGAAGUUGCAAAGAUAGAUGCAUUACUGGCACAUUUUAGGGUGAGGCCUAUCGUGAUAGACCAGAUUAGAGAAGUGCAAAGUAAAGAUGAGUUCAUAACCAAGGUCUUGGAGGACCCUCAGGGGAGAAAGGGAAAAAUGUUUACUAAAGGCUCAGAUGGAAUACUGAGGUAUGGAACCAAACUUUAUGUGCCCAAGAGUGAUGGAUUGAGGAGAGAAAUAUUGGAGGAAGCACAUAUGGCAGCCUAUGUCAUACAUUUGGAAGCUACAAAGUUGUACCAAGAUUUGAAAGAGAUAUAUUAGUGGGAAAGACUUAAGAAAGAUGUGGCUGAGUUUGUUUCUAAGUGCCUAGUUUGUCAGCAAGUUAAGGUAGAGCACCAAAGGCCGGUAGGGCUACUACAACCGUUACAGGAGCUCGAGUGGAAGUGGGAGCAUGUUGUAAUGGAUUUUGUAACAAGCUUGCCUCGAACUAGUGGGGUUUAUGACUCGAUUUGGAUUAUAGUAGACCGAUUGACGAAGUCAGCUCAUUUUCUUCUAGUUAAGACUACUACAACCGUUACUAGUGCCCAAGUGAAAGUGGGAGCAUGUUGCAAUGGAUUUUGUAACGGGCUUGCCUUGAACUAGUGGGGGUUAUGACUCGAUUGGGAUUAUAGUAGACCGGUUGAUGAAGUCAGCUCAUUUUCUUCUAGUUAAGACUAGUUACGGGGCUACCCAAUACGCUCUAAUUUAUGUGGAUGAGAUAGUUCGAUUGCAUGGUAUUCCCAUUUCUAUAGUAUCUGACAAAGGGACACAGUUCACUAACAGGUUUUGGGGAAAAUUGCAAGAAGCUCUGGGCACUAAAUUGGAUUUCAGCACAGCUUUUCACCCUCAGACUGAUGGACAGUCUGAACGAACAAUACAAACAUUAGAAGAUAUGUUGAGGGCUUGUGUAAUAGAUCUUAGGGUUAAGUGGGAUCGAUAUCUACCUUUAAUGGAGUUUGCCUGUAACAAUAGCUUUCAAGCUAGCAUUCAAAUGGCACCAUUGGUAGCUUUCAAGCUACCUUUAAUGGACGAAGGUGCAGGUCACCCAUUGGGUGGCUAGAGGUGGGAGAAAGAAAACUCUUGGGGCCAGAGUUGGUGUAGGACGCUAUCGAGAAGAUACGCAUGAUUCGUCAGAAGAUGUUAACAGCACAAAGUAGGCAAAAGUCAUAUGCUGACAGCAAACAGAGAGACUUGGAGUUUCAAAUGGGGGAUCAUGUAUUUUUGAAAGUCUCACCAACAAAAGGGGUAUGAGGUUCGGUAAAAAGGGAAAAUUAAGUCCGCGAUACAUAGGACCAUUCGAGAUCUUAGAAAAGGUUGGAGUAGUGGCAUAUCGUUUGGUACUACCACCAAACUUUUCGAAUAUUCACCCCGUAUUUCAUGUGUCGAUGCUGAGGAAGUAUAAUCCGGAUCCAUCUCAUGUAAUACGAUAUGAAACUAUUCAGUUAAGAGAUGAUCUAACCUAUGAAGAGCAACCCAUGGCUAUCCUUGAUAGGCAAGUCAAAAAGCUUCGUUCAAAGGAUGUAGCCUCAGUCAAAGUGUUAUGGUGAAACCACACUAGUGAAGAGGUAACGUGGGAAGCCAAGGAGGAGAUGCAAACAAAGUAUCCACAGCUCUUUAAUAUGUAGAGGUCUACGACCUUAUAGUUUGAUUUACAUUCAGGGAUUGAAUUUCUUUUAGUAGGGGAGAAUGUGAAACCUUGACCUUCAUAGACACGUAACUAGAGGUAGAACUUAUGUUUAAAGGUUUAAUUUGAGCCUAUAAUGCUAGUUUUAUGUUACUUAUAAUUAUUUUAUGAUGUUAUAGGAGUAGGAUUAAAAAAUAAUUUCAAUUAGUAAAGAAAGGUGCAUAAUGGGCUGAUGCUCUAUUUGCAUAUAUUUUGGUUUUUCAAGCAUAUCUCCCAUUACAAAAGUCCAAAUAACAUGAUUUUUUGAUCAUUAGAAAGAUAAGAGGUAGGGCUAUAACUUUGGUGUUUACACUUUUCCCAAUUCUGAUGGGAAAGAGGUCAAAAGCUUUGUUGAAGUGAAAGUACUGUGCUAGAAGAAUAGAUUUAGACAAAACAUUUGAGCGUCGCGACGUUAGAAAUUGAGAGCCGCGACUCUCCCUAUAAUUUCCAAAAAUAACAAGCUUAGGGGAUUUUUGAAGCUAGGGCUUUUGGGGGCUACUUAAGAGACCUAUUUUAGAGGAUUUUGGACCUUUUUCCAAUGUCAAAAGAGUAAAAAGAUUGCACAAGAAAAGGGUGAAGACAAGUGGCCUUGUUAAGGGCAUUAUUGUAAUUGCAUGAAAAAUUAGAUAAGCUUUAACUAUAAAUAUCUACUCUCCAACAACCUUCUUCAUUUUUUGUUUCCAGCAGCUUCUUCUUUCCAUAUUUUUCUUCAUCUCACGUUUCUUCAUCUCCAUGGGAAUUCUCUUCAAGCUUUCAUAACUCUCCCAAGUUAGUCUCAAAUUUCAUGCUUUUGAGUACCUUUUCACAAGCCCUUUGUGCUCUUUUACUCUUUCACCUUAAAAACCCUCCAAAGUCUUAAACUAAUACUUUCUCUCAUUAGCUAAGUGUUUUAGAGAGA
Molecule: long non-coding RNA, 8126 nt
Filed under: Theobroma cacao (cacao)
Lineage: Eukaryota; Viridiplantae; Streptophyta; Magnoliopsida; Malvales; Malvaceae
Description: long non-coding RNA (TCAC_LNC001894)
Source: RNAcentral